GAGUUUGAUCUUGGCUCAGAUUGAACGCUGGCGGCAGGCCUAAUACAUGCAAGUCGAACGCACCUUCGGGUGAGUGGCGGACGGGUGAGUAACGCGUGGGAACGUGCCCUUUGGUUCGGAACAACACAGGGAAACUUGUGCUAGUACCGAAUGUGCCCUUCGGGGGAAAGAUUUAUCGCCAUUGGAGCGGCCCGCGUUGGAUUAGCUAGUUGGCGGGGUAAAGGCCCACCAAGGCGACGAUCCGUAGCUGGUCUGAGAGGAUGAUCAGCCACACUGGAACUGAGACACGGUCCAGACUCCUACGGGAGGCAGCAGUGGGGAAUAUUGGACAAUGGGCGCAAGCCUGAUCCAGCCAUGCCGCGUGUGUGAAGAAGGCC
This 377-nucleotide ribosomal RNA is filed under the name uncultured Alphaproteobacteria bacterium. RNAcentral's name for it is "bacterial SSU rRNA". It matches the Rfam family "Bacterial small subunit ribosomal RNA", at positions 9 to 416 of the family's 1533-position model. The record is from RNAcentral. Lineage: Bacteria; Pseudomonadati; Pseudomonadota; Alphaproteobacteria.